UGACUACCUGCGUGUUUCUCAAUGGAUUUCUAGCCGUAGGGUUGUCUCUGAUAUCAGAAUUAGUUUGCCAAAAAUGGUGCUUCCUGAGAUGGAGGUUUACUCUAUCCCAAGUCUGUCUUUAUCACAAAUCAAGGCUUAUUUCCACCUGUCUUCUGCCUCACUUUUCUGUUUUUGCCUGUCUGGUGACGAGUGUGAGUAUUAACAUUGAGUGGGGUUUGCCUAUGGCUAGUAUAUUGGAAGAUACUGGGGAAGAGACACCCCGGCAGGUGGGUAUACUAUUUCAUUGUUGGACUGCAUGCAGCUGUUGCUGUUUUGGCUGCUCUUUUAGCAAGAUUUUUUACUGGAUAUACGAAAAAUCCAAAUGGCACCAUUCAGUUUAAGGCUGGGAAGACUAUCGCUAGCAUUAUUGUAGAUGGAGUGAUCGAAAAAAUCACUGCAGCAGUUACCGUUGUAGCAGUUGCAGUACCUAAGGGCCUUCCUUUAGCUGCUAAACUGACGUAAGUUUGUCCACUAUGAAGAACAGACUUCUUA
Molecule: long non-coding RNA, 531 nt
Organism: Eucalyptus grandis
Lineage: Eukaryota; Viridiplantae; Streptophyta; Magnoliopsida; Myrtales; Myrtaceae
Exons: 4
Source: RefSeq, a predicted model, not a curated record